GAGUUUGAUCCUGGCUCAGAACUAACGCUGGUGGCGUGUCUUAGUCAUGCAAGUCGAACGAGAAAGCACCUUCGGGUGCGAGUAAAGUGGCGAACGGGUGAGUAACACGUGGGUAACCUACCUUUGAGUGGGGAACAAUCCCUCUAACGAGGGGCUAAUACCGCAUAAUGCAGCGGCUCCGCAUGGAGACAGUUGUUAAAGGGGCAGCUUCGGUUGUCUCGCUUGAAGAUGGACCCGCGGUCCAUUAGUUUGUUGGUGAGGUAACGGCUCACCAAGGCAACGAUGGAUAGCCGGCCUGAGAGGGUGUACGGCCACACUGGAACUGAGAAAGGUCCAGUCCCCUACGGGGGCCAGCAGUCUAGAAAUUUGCGCAAUGGGCGAAAGCCUGACGCAGCGACGCCACGUGGAGGAUGAAGCCCUUAGGGGUGUAAACUCCUGUCAGAAGGGAAGAAUGCAGGAAAUAACUUUUCCUGUUUGACGGUACCUUCAGAGGAAGCCCCGGCUAACUUCGUGCCAGCAGCCGCGGUAAUACGAAGGGGGCAAGCGUUGUUCGGAUUUACUGGGCGUAAAGGGCGUGCAGGCGGACCGAUAAGUCGUCUGUGAAAUCUGUCGGCUCAACCAACAAGCCCGCAGUCGAAAGCUAUCGGUCUCUCGAGUCACAGGAGACGGAGAGCGGAAUCCUCACGGUGUACGCGGUGAAAUGCGUAGAUAUCUGGGAGAACACCGGUGGCGAAGGCGGCUCUCUGGCGCUGACUACUGACGCUGACGGCGCGAAAGCUAGGGGACGCGAACGGGAUUAGAUACCCCGGUAGUCCUAGCUGUAAACGAUGGGUACUAGGUGUUGGAGGUAUUGACCCCAUCCAGUGCCGCAGCUAACGCAUUAAGUACCCCGCCUAGGGGAGUAACGGUCGCAAGGCUGAAACUCAAAGGAAUUGACAGGGGACCCGCACAAGCGGUGGAGCAUGUUCCUCAAUUCGAUGCAACGCGAAGAACCUUACCCGGAUGUUGACAUAUACCGGACAGCCUA
This 1027-nucleotide ribosomal RNA is filed under the name uncultured Acidobacteriota bacterium. Its description in RNAcentral is "bacterial SSU rRNA". It matches the Rfam family "Bacterial small subunit ribosomal RNA", at positions 9 to 1002 of the family's 1533-position model. Lineage: Bacteria; Pseudomonadati; Acidobacteriota. The record is from RNAcentral.